RNAcentral lists this ribosomal RNA (283 nucleotides) under uncultured bacterium. Its description in RNAcentral is "partial 16S ribosomal RNA". It matches the Rfam family "Bacterial small subunit ribosomal RNA", at positions 334 to 634 of the family's 1533-position model. The record is from RNAcentral.
UUUCCCUACGGGAGGCAGCAGUGGGGAAUAUUGCACAAUGGGGGGAACCCUGAUGCAGCGACGCCGCGUGAGUGAAGAAGUAUUUCGGUAUGUAAAGCUCUAUCAGCAGGGAAGAAGAUGACGGUACCUGACUAAGAAGCCCCGGCUAACUACGUGCCAGCAGCCGCGGUAAUACGUAGGGGGCAAGCGUUAUCCAGAUUUACUGGGUGUAAAGGGAGCGUAGACGGCUGUGCAAGUCUGAAGUGAAAUGCCGGGGCUCAACCCCGGAACUGCUUUGGAACCU